RNAcentral lists this long non-coding RNA (205 nucleotides) under Elaeis guineensis (African oil palm). RNAcentral's name for it is "long non-coding RNA (EGUI_LNC020076)". Lineage: Eukaryota; Viridiplantae; Streptophyta; Magnoliopsida; Arecales; Arecaceae. The record is from RNAcentral.
CGAAAUACAUAUUUGAUAUCAAAAUACUCAUUUCAUAUGAUUUCAAAUAUUUUAAGCAUAUACUCAUCCUAUCUCUUUCCCUUUUUGGUAGCAUCAAAAAGCUCAUAGAAGGAGUCAAAAAAUAUCAUCAAAAGCAAUCGAAGUUCAAAUAAAGAAAGAUCAUUUUGAUUUCAAGAGAGUAUCAAAUUUGAGCUAUAUGGCAUAU